RNAcentral lists this non-coding RNA (226 nucleotides) under Acetobacterium woodii. Its description in RNAcentral is "T-box sequence". It matches the Rfam family "T-box leader". Rfam says of the family: Uncharged tRNA acts as the effector for transcription antitermination of genes in the T-box leader family. T-boxes are found upstream of many aminoacyl-tRNA synthetase genes and some amino acid biosynthetic genes usually in Gram-positive bacteria. Lineage: Bacteria; Bacillati; Bacillota; Clostridia; Eubacteriales; Eubacteriaceae. The record is from RNAcentral.
AUAAAAGCUUUGAUAAAAGAAUAAAUCCUUGGGUCAAUGAUUAAAAGCGAGCAGAUGAUGGUGGAAGAUCUGUAAUAAAACCCUCUGAAUGGCACUUUUUGAGCUGCACUCAGCAUUUUAAAUAAUCAAUAAAAUACUGAUUGACGUGAAAUUCGUUAUAAGCAAAGGUGGUUUGCGGUAUUUAAGCAAACAACUUGGGUGGAACCGCGGUUAAACCGUCCCUUGU